AGAGCUUUUUAUAAUGAUCAUCGAUUAAGCUGUGUCUAUGGUUUCUGUGAGGUGUCACCUUCCAGGAGUGAGUGUGCUUUCAGCAUACACUGUACAUACAGUCAGUAGCCUUGGGCAGGAAGGAGAGAACCAUAUGCGAGGAGGGAAUUUGGGUGAGAAACUGUAUCAGUUGAUCUGGUUUAUGAGCCAUCAUCAUCAGUCCAUGACCCAAGGAAGAGAUCAAAGGGCUCCAUUGUGAGUGUGUUGAAGGACAGGGCUGAGUGUAAUGAGAUCACAUUGGAUGAUGAACUCCAAGAAUCUUCUAUUUGGGUUUCAUCUCCUAGAUGCCUUCCUUAAUCCGUGUUGGUCCAGGCAGGACUCACAUCUCCCUUCUCUGCUGUUCAUCCCUUUUUGUUAGGGUUUGAUUCUUGGACUAGGGUGAACCAUGUAUCCUUAGAGUGGUGGGAAGUAUCAUGGUGAACUUCCAGAAGCAGUGGUCUUCUGUUCAUCGUGAAGAUGCUUGUAAUUUGGUGCUGGGGGUAGUAGCAAUCACUUGAGGGGUAACCCCUGUUGACUGGGAGCUCAUCGUGUUUCUCACUCUGGUCUCAGAAAUGUGGUCAUUCUUUGUAUCUUUCUCCAUUCUUACAGUAUUGAGGUUGUUUGACAUUGAGUCUGGCCAUCUUCUCUCUUCAUCCACAAGUAAAAUGAGUGUGACAGUUACUGAAGCUUCUUCCUCCUGGCAACAGUCUCUGCAGAAUUUUGGGCUUCUAGCAUUCUCUGCCAUGCUUUUUUCUGAGAAAGGGCUAAAAGGAGACUGGAACACCUGGAGUAGGAAGGCGUUUGUUGAUGGUCUCACCCAAACCUCAUUCAAGAGAUUAUUUUCGGGGAAGAAUCUAGAAGCAUGACUGCCUCUGCCAGAAUGAAAAAAGGCAGUUACCAACUGAACAGUUUCCUUCAUGACUGACCACUUGUCAGAUAAUGUGACACAUUCCAAGUGGCAAUGACUGAAAGUUGGAAGGUUCAUCCAGGCUCCUGAUUGUAGACCAUACAGAAAAAAAAGCACCCUCUUUUAGCAGCCUAGACCCAAAUGUUACUUGCAUUUGAACACGAGGCCCAUUGGAAAAUGGUCUUUCUGAUGCUAAGGAAUAGAAGUGGAGUGUUAAGUGAAAGUAGGAGACUUCCAAGUAUUGCUUCCACGGGAAAUACCAAUACAUUGGUGGCCAUACAGUUAAGUAUUCUACCCUCUCUGUAUUUCAGUAUGGACUGUCUCUAAACACCAUCACCUGGUCUAUCUCAUUCCCAUCUAUACUAUUCCAAGGAAUUGACCAUGUUAUUGCUUUGCACAUCAGUAUAGAUUGCAGCAUUUUUCAGGAAUUUCUGUGUUAGCUGAUCUUGCUGUCCAAUAAGAGAGCAAUGGACAAGUAAUAUGUGAUGUCUACACACAACAGAACCAUUUCAGCUGAAGUGAUGAAUUCAGUCAAGGUGAUUGCAGGAGAGUUCUUGUAACUCAUGAUAAUCAUAUUAUACCAUAUGUAUCCAGUCCCAGACAAAUAUCUCCUGACGCUGUCUGUAUAUAUGGAUCCUAGAUUACACAUAUCUCCAUGGUUCCAUUCAUGACUUGGGAGGCAAUGCUGUCAAGCAGAUGUCAAUGUCUAAGAUUUUUGGUGACAGUUAAGGAAUGGGUAGGCCUUGGUCACAAAGUUACUGGCUUACUAUACAAUAUACAGUUUUAAACGAACAUGUUCCAUGAAUAGUACAAUGAGAACUAAUGUUAUUAGGAAGGAUUCAAUACGAGUACAGCAUUGUGUGAAUUGCUUUAUUAUGAAAAAUGUUUCCUGAGCUUUGUUUAAUAAGGAUUAUUCUACGAGACCCUUAGUUUGAAAACAUAAAGAUUAAAAUUAUAAUAUCAAGGUUAGAAGAUAUACAUUUAAAUGUCUUUCUAUUGCGUUUAUGCUGUAAAGUGAAGCACAGUAGUCUCAUGGCAGUGCCCAAAUCUAUAAUGAAAACCACAUACAGAGAGUGAUAAAACCUGAUGCCUCCCAAAGACAUUGAUAUCCAUCAUUCUCUUCUACCGGAAUUUGUCCCUGUGGGGAUCAUUGCAUACAGUUAGUAGGAUCUUUUCAUGGUGGAUUUGUUAACAUUUUCUAGAUGGGUCAGUCUGGACAUAGCCCUUAUUAGAAUGAACAAUUUGGGGCCUACACAAUAGUUGGGGGUUUGAUAUUAUGAAGAAAGGUGCACCAUAAAACUCUAUGGAGAGCGUGAAUACAAUUCCUCAGUAAAAUUCAAAUGCCCCACUUCCUAGAAGUAGAAAAGCAAUCAUAACUUUACCAAAAUGUUCAAAAUACCCAGGAUAGGAUAGGCACACAUCAUAUAAGGUCAGAACUUCCCAGGCAUUGUACUAAGUACAACCUACAAAUGAAACAAGGCAGAUUGUAGGAAAAAAAUGAAUCCAAGUCAAGUUCCAUCUGUAAACACAUCUCUUUGGAUUUUAGGUAUGAUAAAAAAAUGGACCCUGGAGUACACAAGUCCACCUCAUGAAGUCAUGUACUGAAAUGUUGUUAUUUACCUACACAGAAGAGCCUUGAUUGCACUUGGCUUCUUGAAGCAAUCCUUUAGUCCCAGCACUCUUGAGGCAGCGGAGGAGCAGACAGAGGUGGAAGCAGAGGCUGAGAUGGAGGAGGAGACAGAGGGGGAGGCAGGCAGGACUUUUUGAGUUCAGUGAUUGCCUGUUCAAUGUAGCCAGUUCCAGGACAUGCUGGGCUGUGGAGAGAGUCCCUGUCUCAAGAAUCUAAAAGUGAGUUAAUAAGUAAAUGAAUUCUGUUUACAAUAUGUAUCCCUGGAAAAAGAAAUGCCAAAUGCAUAAGAGGCUAAAGUGUGACAAUCUCUGAUACUAUUAGAGCACAGAUUAGUACAAAGUGUUGAAGGCUCAGGAGAUACCAUUUUUCUUCUCUUCCUUCUUUCACAGUGAAUAACAGACCUUCAUGGACUCCAGCAUGUACAUGCUGAGGUGGGUUUAAGGCUUUUAAAGCUACCAUGGCUGAGCUCAGAUAGAUCCUGCUUCCACUUGGUGUUGAGAAUAGUGGGAUUGUGUUCUGUCUUGACUCUGUGACUUGAUGGCUUCAGUUCAUUCGGCUUUCUUGGAGGUGUUUUCUCUAGUUCUCUUGGCCUGGUCUUGCCCAUGAACCCUAGGACUGCUGGGCUUGCAGAGUAUGGCUUUCUGAGCUUUGCCCUCCAUUUGCUGGGCCAUGUUGUCAAUAUCCCCUUCUCAGGCCCCAGCAUCUCUCCCUCCACAAGAUCUUGACACUAGAUUCUAGCCAGAGAAGCUCCAUUAAACAUAUUAGAGCAUUUCUCCUCAUUCUUCCACACCCGGUUUAAGGAUGUGCUGAUGACAUCUUAUCUUUACUGGGCCUGAUCGCUCCUGAAGACCUGGAGCCUUUGCAUUGGGUGACUGUGGGAACCUGGAAUUAGUUUAGAUCAGAGACAGAGUUGAGCAUUUGGGAAGGUGAACUUCUUCCAUCAGUGUAGUCAUGUCUGCAAGUCUAUGCUGGAGGCCAACAUACUGUGCAUGUUCCAGACUCAUCCUGACCACUAAUGUGCUUCCAAAUUAGGCAUUAUCAGAAGCAAGCUUCUGCCCUAGGCUCCCAGCAUCAGUGAAGUGCAAGGGAUGCUGCAUGUUGGGGUGUGCUGAAGGGAGGAGAGAUGGGUCUUGGUUUUUCUCUCGCGCACUCAUAGGCAUCCAGAGGCAUUGACAGAUUUGCUGCCAUCUCAUGCAGGUUGUCAUUCUCUGUUUGUUCCAGGCAUGGAUCUUGUGGCAAUGACAGGAAUUCUGAAGGUUGUGGAUGGGGGCAGUUAAUGACUUGCCACCAUCAACAGGUGGUGUCCUCAUCUGGUAAUCCAGUUGCAGGAGUACAGAGUUCUGCUCUGCAGCAAACAGAGAAUCUGGCUUGAGGUGUGAUUCCCAGGGAAGUCUCCCUUUGCACCACUGAAAAAGAGUCAAGGAAGAAGUCAGUCCAUGGUGGUGUUCUCAUCUGGUAAUCCAGGGUGUAGGAGUAGCAGAGGUCUGUUCUGCAGCUGAGGGAGUCUCUGGCUUGAUGUGUGGUUCCCAGGGAAGUCUCCCUUUGCACCACUGAAAAAGAGUCAAGGAAGAAGUCAGUCUCUGGCUUGGAGCUGGAGGCAAGGCCAGGAAUUCUGAAGGACUGUGAAUAAGGGCAGUUAAUGACCUGUCCCCAUCAACAGGUAGUAUCUUCAUCUGAGUAUCCUGGGUUCAGGCAUUUCAGAAGUCAGGACUCUGCAGCAGACAGAGUGUCUGGCUGAAAGCUAUCUAUCCAAGGGCCCUCUCCCUUUCCACCACUGGAAAAGAGUCAAGGAAGGAGUCAGUGCCUGGUAAGUGAGAUGAGAUGAUCCCCUCCUUUCAGUGGACCUCAGCACUCAGGCCUCUGUAGCAGUGGGCCAGGCAUUCCUAUGAACUCUGCUUGAGUGGCAAGUGUAGCAUCUCUGUUUACAGACACUUAGUAACUACUCAGUUGUUUCUGGUGACCAUGCAAUGUCUUGUUUUCUCAGAUGUUUGUGUGUUCCAUAUCAUUUAUUGGUGUGAGCAUGCAUAGUGGUCAUGGGGAGGUUACAGAAUUCUCUUGGUGUGUGGUCCUUCCUUGCCCUCCUUUUGACUUUGAAACAGUUCCUCUCAGUUAUUUGGAAGUGUGCCAUUAGGCAGUUUGUCUGGCCUAUAAUUUCCAAAACUUACACAACCUGUUGACUUCUUUCAAGUAGUGGCAUUACUCAUGUGCAACAGGAUGUUUGGAUUUUUUGGGUUUUCAGUGUGCAAACCCAGUCCUUCACUCCUGAAAUGCAAGCCGUUUAAGAACCCCAGCUAUCCUCAAGCUCCCAUUUCACAGAUGUGUUAUAAGUGAUAUGAAAAUUACUUGAAGAAAGUGAAAUAGUGUGGCUUGAGUGUGACUUUGUUAUAGAGAACAUGGGUACAUGAUCAUGGACUUGUGUCAACACUGAAGAAUCACAGAGAAAAAGAAAGAGAAUAAGAGAAGAUACAGCAAGAGAGUGAGUAAGUUUGAGAGAGAGAGAGAGAGAGAGAGAGAGAGAGAGAGAGAGAGAGAGAGAGAGAGAGAUUUGCAGUUGUGUUGAUCAGGUAUCCGAUUUCAACUCAGGAAAAAUCAAGUGCUAACCAAAUAUAAAAUUCAUGAUGUCUUCUAGAACCUUGAGCACUAUCGUAGAAAGGAGGUGAUUAUAGUGUGAUGGAGCAUGGCACUGAUUGGCUUAGGCAGUGAUAUGUGUGUCUGUGUUGUGGUAGCUGAUCAUGUUUUAAUGAAGGAUGGAUGUCAGUCCCUAUCAUGCAUGUUUCUUACUUUUGAGAUGGACGUUGGGGAUGGUGAGCCAGAGCCAAGGCUGAGCUCUCAGGACUCCCAUCCUUUCUCCCUGAGGACAUCCACUGCUGAAAGGGCGAGCUGUGUCUGCUUUGAGUGCUGAUCUCAGUCCUCCCUCCUGGCUUUACUCACCUUGAAGACUUGUGUCUGGCAUGUCUUGAGCAGGUGUGGGAUAGUAGAUGGCAGAGGUGGAGAAAAGUGUUUGGACAUUCGUUGGCUGAAUUUCCUUUGACAUCAUCACCAUCUCUGGUUGCAGGACAGAGGCCUGACCCCCAGAGUAGGACACAGA
Long non-coding RNA from Peromyscus eremicus (cactus mouse), 5643 nucleotides. RefSeq lists it as uncharacterized. NCBI's taxonomy places the organism in Eukaryota, Metazoa, Chordata, Mammalia, Rodentia, Cricetidae. The record is from RefSeq and is a predicted model, not a curated record. The transcript has 6 exons.